RNAcentral lists this transfer RNA (77 nucleotides) under Saccharomyces cerevisiae (brewer's yeast). It matches the Rfam family "tRNA". From Rfam's summary of the family: Transfer RNA (tRNA) molecules are approximately 80 nucleotides in length. Lineage: Eukaryota; Fungi; Ascomycota; Saccharomycetes; Saccharomycetales; Saccharomycetaceae. The record is from RNAcentral.
GGGCGUGUGGUCUAGUGGUAUGAUUCUCGCUUUGGGCGACUUCCUGAAUAACCUGGGUUCAAUUCCCAGCUCGCCCC